GACGAACGCUGGCGGCGUGCUUAACACAUGCAAGCCGAACGGGCUGCCUGGUUUUCGGAUCGGGUGGUGAGUGGCGAACGGGUGAGUAACACGUGAGUAACCUGCCCCUCUCUUUGGGAUAACGUCGGGAAAUCGGCGCUAAUACCGGGUAUUCUGGCUUCCUCGCAUGGGGUUGUUGGGAAAGGUUUUUUCUGGUGGGGGAUGGGCUCGCGGCCUAUCAGCUUGUUGGUGGGGUGAUGGCCUACCAAGGCGGUGACGGGUAGCCGGCCUGAGAGGGUGUCCGGCCACACUGGGACUGAGACACGGCCCAGACUCCUACGGGAGGCAGCAGUGGGGAAUAUUGCACAAUGGGCGGAAGCCUGAUGCAGCGACGCCGCGUGGGGGAUGACGGCCGUCGGGUUGUAAACCUCUUUCAGUGCAGAACAAGGCUCUUUGUGGGUUGAGGGUAUGCGCAGAAGAAGCGCCGGCUAACUACGUG
This 478-nucleotide ribosomal RNA is filed under the name uncultured bacterium. RNAcentral describes it as "partial 16S ribosomal RNA". It matches the Rfam family "Bacterial small subunit ribosomal RNA", at positions 28 to 507 of the family's 1533-position model. The record is from RNAcentral.